AUCUGGUUCAGGAUGAACGCUAGCGACAGGCUUAACACAUGCAAGUCGAGGGGCAGCAUAAAAGUAGCAAUACUUGGUGGCGACCGGCGCACGGGUGAGUAACGCGUAUGCAACCUACCUAUCAGAGGGGAAUAACCCGGCGAAAGUCGGACUAAUACCGCAUAAAACAGGGGCACCGCAUGGUGAUAUUUGUUAAAGAAAUUCGCUGAUAGAUGGGCAUGCGUUCCAUUAGGUAGUUGGUGAGGUAACGGCUCACCAAGCCGACGAUGGAUAGGGGAACUGAGAGGUUGGUCCCCCACACUGGUACUGAGACACGGACCAGACUCCUACGGGAGGCAGCAGUGAGGAAUAUUGGUCAAUGGGCGGGAGCCUGAACCAGCCAAGUCGCGUGAAGGAAGAAGGAUCUAUGGUUCGUAAACUUCUUUUGCAGGGGAAUAAAGUGCAGGACGUGCCCUGUUUUGUAUGUACCCUGAGAAUAAGGAUCGGCUAACUCCGUGCCAGCAGCCGC
Molecule: ribosomal RNA, 508 nt
Filed under: uncultured bacterium
Lineage: Bacteria
Description: bacterial SSU rRNA
Rfam family: Bacterial small subunit ribosomal RNA
Source: RNAcentral